ACCCGUUGAUCCUGCGGGAGGUUGCUGCUAUUGGGAUACGACUAAGACAUGCAAGUAUUCUAGCAAUAGAUGCAUCAUGCUCAGUAACACGUCGAUAAUCUGCCUUUAAGUCUGGAAUAACCUUGGUAAACUGAGGGUAAUACCGGAUAGGGGAAAGAUACUGUGAUGUUCUUUCCUUUAAAGCUUCGGUGCUUAAAGAUGAGUCGGCGGUGGAUUAGGUUGUUGGCGGGGUAAUGGCCCACCAAGCCGAAGAUCCAUAGGGGCCUUGAAAGAGGUAGCCCCGAGAAGGACGCUGAAAUACUGGUCCUAGCCCUACGGGGUGCAGCAGUCGCGCAACCUUGUCAAUGCACGAAAGUGUGAACAGGGAAUCCCAAGUGCUCAUGUUUUGCAUGGGCUUUUGCCAAGAGUUAAUAUCUUGGCGAAUAAGUGGUGGGUAAGACUGGUGCCAGCAGCCGCGGUAACACCAGCGCCACGAGUGGCAAUCAUGUAUUUGGCCUAAAGCGUCCGUAGCCGGUUUGGCAAAUCUUCUGUGAAAUUAUGCAGCUCAACUGUACAGCGUGCAGAAGACACUACCAAGCUUGGAACCGGGAGGGGUACAGAGUAUUCCAGGGGAAGCGGUAAAAUGCUAUAAUCCCUGGAGGACUACCUAUGGCGAAGGCACUGUACCAGAACGGAUUCGACGGUGAGGGACGAAAGCCAGGGGAGCGAUCCGGAUUAGAUACCCGAGUAGUCCUGGCCGUAAACGCUGCGAGCUAGGUGUUGCGCAUUCUACGAGAAUGCGCAGUAUCGUAGUGAAGAUGUUAAGCUCGCCGCCUGGGAAGUAUGGUCGCAAGGCUGAAACUUAAAGGAAUAGGCGGGGGAGCACAACAAGGGGUGCGGCGUGCGGUUUAAUCUAAUUCAACGCAGAGAACCUCACUAGGGGCGACGGCAGAAUGAAGGCCAAGCUGAAGACUUUGCCAGACAAGCCGAGAGGUGGUGCAUGGCCGCCGUCAGCUCGUGCUGUAAGGUGUCCUGUUAAGUCAGGCAACGAGCAAGAUCUGCGCCCAUAAUUGCCAGCGGAUUCAUUGAAUGACCGGGCACAUUAUGGGGACUGCCCUGGAAACAGGGAGGAAGGUGCAGGCUACGGUAGGUCUGUAUACCCCGAAUCUCCUAGGCUACACGCGCGCAACAAUGGUAGAGACAAUGGGCUACGACUCCGAAAGGAGAAGUUAAUCCUCGAAACUCUAUCUCAGUCUAGAUUGAGGGUUGGAACCCACCCUCAUGACAAUGGAAUCCCUAGUAAUCAGACGUUAGCAUCGUCUGGUGAAUAUGUCCCUGCUCCUUGCACACACCGCCCGUCAAACCAACCGAGCAGGGUUUGGGUGAGGACUAUCUUUUUAGAUAGCACGAAUCUAAACUCAGUGAGGUGGGUUAAGUCGUCACAAGGUA
This 1428-nucleotide ribosomal RNA is filed under the name metagenome. RNAcentral's name for it is "bacterial SSU rRNA". It matches the Rfam family "Archaeal small subunit ribosomal RNA". The record is from RNAcentral.